Long non-coding RNA from Oncorhynchus tshawytscha (Chinook salmon), 459 nucleotides. RefSeq lists it as uncharacterized. The record is from RefSeq and is a predicted model, not a curated record. NCBI's taxonomy places the organism in Eukaryota, Metazoa, Chordata, Actinopteri, Salmoniformes, Salmonidae. The transcript is spliced from 3 exons.
AGAUUUUGUGUAAAUUCUACAGAAAACUACUGACGCAUAUCAUUGUAUUUGCUUGAGGGGAGUUUUGCUGCUAUAUAAGAGAGUGAUUCUCUACUCCAGAGACACGUAUUCAGCUGUUGCAUCUUUUGGUGUUAAACAAUUGAACUUCACUCGGAAUCUCAGAACCAAUCAGUUUUCUUCCAUCAAGAUCUUCUAUAGUCAUCCUUAACACUGAGGCCUGCAUAUCAUUGUAUAUAUUUCAAAGCAGCGACUUUGUUUGGGGACGUGAGUUUCAGCACCAAAAACAACCUCAUAUUCUGAUGUAGCAUCUAACAUUCAUACACACCAAUACGUUUAUAUACAUCAUUACACAUAAGUCACCAAGUCGAUCAGGAAGAUACAGCAGGAGUUAGAGUGGGGAGGUGCUGGGAGUAGGAGAGGGACUCCAUGGUAACUCUGAGGUUCCCAGCUGAGGAGGAA